UUAAAAACCUCAUGUACAACUAUAGAGAAAAAUUAUUUCGAAUAGAUGCAACUGCCGAUUUCCUUUUAGUUAUGUUACUCCAUUUAAAUACGGCUACUGAACAUGCUGAGAAGAGUAUUCUUAAUUUGAAUUCACUUAAAACAACUGCAAAAUACAAUUUGUUGCAAAAGACUAUCAGUGAUAAAAAGGUGAACACUGUUACAUGUACAUCUCCAUGUACAAUCGUAUGUAUUUUUGUUUCAACUUUUAUAUACAUAUACAUACAUAUACAUACAUAUACAUACAUAUACAUACAUANNNNNNNNNNAUACAUAUACAUACAUAUACAUACAUAUACAUACAUAUACAUACAUAUACAUACAUAUACAUACAUAUACAUACAUAUACAUACAUAUACAUACAUAUACAUACAUAUAUAUAUAUGUACAACCACGUGUACAUGAUUUACUUUACACCUUUUCUACUCACUAUAGAUCAACAAAAAAAAGAAAAGGAACUUUAAACACAUUGCUCCAUUCAAUUUCUUCCGUGAAGAACCAGAAGAAAGUAUAGGAAACGAGUCUAUUCUUGCUAUGGAUGAUAUUAUAAAAACAUGUUCAUUAGCAAAAAGUACAAAUCAAUAUGCCUCACUUUACGAGUUAAGUAAAGAGUUAUGGCUAACUGUACAAAAUAUGUAUUCUGCGUCUUAUGGUUUUGUUGGAUCAAAAAAAUUAAAAGUUCCAACGUUUGUUUUAUCAAAAAUAAGAAAUGUAGGGUUCUUGUUGAAAUGGUUUAAUAAUAAAAAUUUACCAAAUAAUAAUGUAAACUUUAUGGUUUCCCAUUAUUCUCCUUUGAUAUCGGCUAGUUUGCAAUUAACUUUUUUUAUCAGAUCAAUGAUAGAAGAAUAUAAACCAAGCUUUCUUAGUAAUUUUUCGGCAGUUUUAAAAAAAGUUUUAACAUUAGGAAGAAGUGGAGGUAUACCUAAAAAUUACCUUGACUUAGAAGAAUAUUCAGAAGUUGAUUAUUUAUUAAGAUCCAACAAGUAUGAUAGAGUACAGAGAGUUAUAAAUCAAACUGUUAAAGUUUUUAAAAAAAAAUUCUUAUCAGCAUCUUUUACUCCAACAAUUUUUGCUCAAUACAUUUCUUUGUUCUUAUCUUUAUGGGUUUUUGAAAAUGAAAAAAAUGUUUCAUGGGAAAAUACAAACAUAACUAGAUUUAAAAAAUUAUUUUUUACGUCUUAUUUCGCCCACAAAUCCGGACCAGUCGAAAAGGCAACCGAAAUAGUAUAUAAUAAAUGCCAUAAAAAAACUGACGCAAUUGUGUUAGGAUGUAUAGCUGAUUAUGGUGGAAAACGUAGAAAAAGGUUGAAAUUUAUAACAAAAAAAUGUAAACCAACAAGAAUACCAAUCAGAAAAAGAAAUAUUCGUAACAUAUUAAAAACAGUUAUGACCACAUUAUCAGACCCAUUGGAUAUUCUAAAAAUCGCUACCGAUUUAUCUACAAGAUGUUCACAUUAUAGUCGAAGUGGUUCAAUGGAUAAAAAAAGAAAAGACAAAAAAAAAAUGAAUUAUGAUGUAUUUACAAGAUCAGAAUUAUCCUUUAGAUUUAUUUGUGCCCAAGUUACAAAAAAUCUUGUAAGCAAGGCAAUAAAUAACGUAUCUAAACUUAAAGACUUCAGUAAAGCUGAGUAUGUAAUUGAACAAACACUAAAUAGCAUACAAUAUUUAAAAAUAAGAAAUCACAGAGAUAAAAGUAAUGUAAUAACUAUCCUUUGUCCUUUUAUGGAAAAAAAUGAUCCACAAAUAAGGGAUUUGGAAAGAGCUAAUAUUAGUCUUUUUGUUUAUAAAAACGUUGGAUUGUUAAAAAUGAUAAAAGGAAAAAUAAAAACUAAAAUAUUCAGAAGAUCUGUUUCGAUUAGAAGAGGUAUUGUUUCAGACAGCCCAGUUUUAAUAAAAGUUGGAGCUCGAAAAUUUAAUGGUUUAUUGUAUUCUGGAGGAUACCAUUUAAAUGUUCCCGGCAUUCAGAAUGAUACUUAUCACAUUGGACUUUCUCAUACAAGAAUGGUUUAUAAUGGAGAAAAAUUCGUUGACGAGCUAGAAAUACUAAGACCUAAUGGUGUUAAAAAAAUUAUUAUGCAAGAUACAAAUAAUGACGAUAGAAGAAUGUUUGUUUUAGAAGAUAACACUGUAGUAUCUGAAUUUGAUUAUGCUAUACAUAAUCCUAUGGCUAAUAUAGCCGUUUUUGAAGGAAAUAAUUAUAUAGCAUCCCAUGCCCUUUAUGGUAUAUUAAUGGAAAGUGAAAGAAUUGUUUGGACUGGACCGCAGACCGGAUGGGUUGUAGAAUUUGCCUUGAACACCGUUUCCAACACUCCAAUUCCAAUAUUUGAUGGAAAUGCAUGGGUUUUACUUGAAAAGUUAAGCAUUAAAAGUAUUUUAGGUGACCAUUUACCAAAAGGUGUCAAUGGAAAUGAAUUAGCAACUACAGUUAAUUUUAUUGUUUUAAAUAAGCAUGGAAAACCUAUACUUGAGAAUUUAA
Molecule: long non-coding RNA, 2514 nt
Organism: Piliocolobus tephrosceles (Ugandan red Colobus)
Lineage: Eukaryota; Metazoa; Chordata; Mammalia; Primates; Cercopithecidae
Source: Ensembl